This 825-nucleotide long non-coding RNA is filed under the name Octopus vulgaris (common octopus). Lineage: Eukaryota; Metazoa; Mollusca; Cephalopoda; Octopoda; Octopodidae. The record is from RNAcentral.
UUUUUCUUUUUUUUUUUUUUGUCUAUUUCAGACAUUUCGAGGCCAGUGAACCACGUCUGUUGCGAGUCAGUAUGAAUUCAUUUAUCGAUCAUUUAGUCCUCGUCCAACAAACCAUCAACAAGUUCGGGCCGCCGUUAACUUGAGAGAGACGGAAAGAACAAGCGAUGCAUUCUCAGAGUUAAUCUCAGCCGUCUUUUAACGAAGAACUCUGACUGCACUUGGAAGCUACCAUCACUGCCGCUAACAUAAUGACAACUGCUAGACUCAUACUGAACACUUACUACUACUACUACUACUACUACUACUACUACUACUAAUAAUAAUUAUACUACUACUACUACAUCUAACAUCAUCACUGCUGGCACCACUGCUGUUACUGUUACUAUUAAUAAAAUUUGUGUAUUUCUGUCUGUUUGUCUGUCUGUCCGUCUGUCAAGAUAAGUAAAAUUAUACAUACAUGCAAACUGUGUGUUCACUAUACAUACAUACAUACAUACAUACAUAUACAUACAUAUAUAUAUAUAUAUAUAUAUAUAUAUAUAUAUAUAUAUAUAUGCAUGCAAUAAUGUAUCAUACACACACACAUAUACAUAAGUGUAUAUAUAUAUAUAUAUAUAUAUAUAUAUAUAUAUAUAUAUGUAUGUUUGUGUAUGCGUGUGUGAUGAAAGCUAGUAUGCCCAUCUCUUCUAAAUGUCUAAUAAACAUGUACUCUAUUGGGUAAUUCUUCAAUUUAGCGUUACUUUUAUAUAUUAACAAAAACAAACAUUAAUAUCUGUAUGUAUAUUUAUAUAUACAUGUGUAUAUAUAUAUAUGUGUGUGUGUGUG